AUGUUUAGGGCAAGAAAAUGUUAAAGAAGCAGAAGAACAAAAUGUUACGUCAUAUUAGAUUAAGAUUUGCUAAUCACUCAUAGUAAUACCGGAGCCUUUGAACUUGAUAGAAAGUAUGGCAGGCCUCCUCUAUCCCGGGUUCUAUCCAAAUAGGGACAAACAUAUAACCUAGGGCAACGAUUAAUCACAUCUACUUGACUGGAUCUGGGGAUCAGCUAAGAGACUAGCCGUUGGGCACAUCUGUGAGGGGUUUUCUUGAUCAGCUAAAUCGAAGGGGAAAGACACAAAUUCAAGGACCCAGCUUCUCCAGCCUUCCACUGGUCAAUUGCCUGAAGGACAACGGCUCGAGGAUCCUCUAGACCUUCAGGAUCAGGCUGGGACUGCUGAGUCAUUCUGUCCCAGGGACUAAGCAGAUAACGGAUUCUCAGCUUCUCCCAGUGUGAAGGCAGUCACUGUUGGACCACCCAGGCCAUAUUAUGAAAGCCAAUUAAUAAAUCCUCUCUUAAGUAU
RNAcentral lists this long non-coding RNA (510 nucleotides) under Rattus norvegicus (Norway rat). Its description in RNAcentral is "long non-coding RNA NONRATT026710". The record is from RNAcentral. Lineage: Eukaryota; Metazoa; Chordata; Mammalia; Rodentia; Muridae.